Gossypium raimondii (Peruvian cotton) is the source of this 909-nucleotide long non-coding RNA. RefSeq lists it as uncharacterized. The record is from RefSeq and is a predicted model, not a curated record. Lineage: Eukaryota; Viridiplantae; Streptophyta; Magnoliopsida; Malvales; Malvaceae. The transcript is spliced from 3 exons.
GUCAAACCUAAUUUCCUAAAAGCAAUAACUAUACCCCAGCCAUUUCCAAAUAUUUCCUUUCCCAAAACCAGAUCCUUAUGGGUCUCAAAAUCAGAAGCAUUCAACAAUGGCCUGAAAAACAUCACUAUCUAUUUUCUCCUCCUGACUCUUACUUCCCUUCACUACUACUUUCCCCUAUCAGUGAGUAGCCCAACAUUACCUUGAACCCGAUUUUCAUUGCACAGUACCAGAGAUACUCCCCCCAACCGUUCCCCUUCAAUCUUUCUCCACCGCCUCAUUUACGAAAUCUGGCACCCCGUCAAGAAGAUAAGUAUUCCUUUCCCCCUUAAUCCUUCAGGGGCCAAAAGAUGACCCACUUGGUUCCCCUACCUCUGAAUUUGCGAGAAUACAAAGUUUUUAAAUCUCUUCCUCAAAAAGUUUAGCUUUGAGAUGUAAGUAUUGAUGCAUGAAUCAUCUUUUCUAUUUGCCUGCAGUUUCUUUAUCACCGUAAGCGAAUCGCCUUUGAUCAUCGCAUCUUGAAACCCUAAAUCAAUGCCCAAUCAGACUACUUGGAGACAUGCAAUAGCUACUGCAGCGAACCCCAUUGAGAGUGAGCUUGAAAAGCCCCAUCAAAAUUUAUCUUUAUGAAAGCGUUCACUGGAGGCCUCCAUCUUACAAUCUCAACUCUGAUAAUCCUCAAAGUUUGGAUCAGACGCGACAUUUGGAGGGCUCAUCUCGGUUUUUUCUAAUUAAAGUAUUUUAAUUUUAUAAUUUCAUAAUUAAUUGAGACUGCAAAAUUUUUUAUACGAACUGUGGCAUGGGAUUGGACUUCAGGUUUUAUUUUGAUUUAGCAUGCAUGUAACAUGUUUAAAUAAUUGGAAAACCAAAAAAUUGAUCAUAUAAGUUUGAAACAUGGUUUUAAAUAACAAA